UUUUGUACUUGUCAGUGGCUGUCAUUUCGCUUGCUGUCACGUGUAAUUGUUAUUAUUCGUUUAAUCGUUAUUAUCAAAAAAUAACAUAUUUUCUGAGAAGAAUCCUAUUGGUACUUACUUUGUUUGGCCGUCUGCGCCUCGAGAGCUCGGCAGAGGUCAGGAGCGGAAGAGAGAAGGGAUCAUGAGGGAUCUGCAGCCUCCCAGUGAUGAGGAGAUCCAGAGUUAUGUGAGGGAGAUUGUGGCGAAUGCAGACUUGGAACACAUAACUAUGAAGAUGGUGUAUGUGCAAGUAUUCAACAAGUACCCGGACUUUAAUCUCACUAAGAAGAAGAGUAUGAUCCGGGCAACGGUGAUGUCGCUAAUCAGAUAAUCUAAUCCUGAAAUGAAUACCAAAAUAUAUUUAACUUGAGCUCGGCGUCGCCAGUCCUCCAGUCGCGUCGGCCGAAGACUUCCACUAUGUUCUUACUACCUUUACAUGUUUUUUUAUUAGGCUACUUUAUUAAGCCUAUGUCUAUUUCUUAAAGGUAGUUAUUAUAAUAACUGUACUUGUAGUAGUCCUAUCUCAAUUGGAUAGGAAUUAGAAAUUGAUGUAUUUUCAAAUUAUUCCAUAAUAAUGCAUCUUUUCAAUAAUAUCUGUAGAGUGUAUGGUUCUAAAACAAAAUUUGAGGUAAAAAUUACGACUCUUCCAAAGUGAUUCAUGUUUGUGAUAAUAAUAAUCUUUUGAUUGAAAAUUAAAUAGUUAAAGUACUUA
Molecule: long non-coding RNA, 751 nt
Organism: Helicoverpa armigera (cotton bollworm)
Lineage: Eukaryota; Metazoa; Arthropoda; Insecta; Lepidoptera; Noctuidae
Exons: 3
Source: RefSeq, a predicted model, not a curated record